GUGCCAGCCGCGGUAAUACCGGCAGCCCGAGUGAUGACCGAUCUUAUUGGGCCUAAAGCGUCCGUAGCCGGCCGGACGGGUCCGUCGGGAAAUCCACUCGCCCAACGAGUGGGCGUCCGACGGAAACUGCACAGCUUGGGACCGGAAGGCUCGAAGGGUACGUUCGGGGUAGGAGUGAAAUCCCAUAAUCCCGCACGGACCACCGAUGGCGAAAGCACUUCGAGAAAACGGAUCCGACAGUGAGGGACGAAAGCCAGGGUCUCCAACCGGAUUAGAUACCCCUGUAGUCC
This 290-nucleotide ribosomal RNA is filed under the name uncultured bacterium. RNAcentral describes it as "partial 16S ribosomal RNA". It matches the Rfam family "Archaeal small subunit ribosomal RNA", at positions 455 to 747 of the family's 1478-position model. The record is from RNAcentral.